ACUGAACGCUGGCGGCAGGCCUAACACAUGCAAGUCGAACGGUAACAGGAAACAGCUUGCUGUUUCGCUGACGAGUGGCGGACGGGUGAGUAAUGUCUGGGAAACUGCCUGAUGGAGGGGGAUAACUACUGGAAACGGUAGCUAAUACCGCAUAACGUCGCAAGACCAAAGAGGGGGACCUUCGGGCCUCUUGCCAUCGGAUGUGCCCAGAUGGGAUUAGCUUGUUGGUGGGGUAACGGCUCACCAAGGCGACGAUCCCUAGCUGGUCUGAGAGGAUGACCAGCCACACUGGAACUGAGACACGGUCCAGACUCCUACGGGAGGCAGCAGUGGGGAAUAUUGCACAAUGGGCGCAAGCCUGAUGCAGCCAUGCCGCGUGUAUGAAGAAGGCCUUCGGGUUGUAAAGUACUUUCAGCGGGGAGGAAGGCGAUGGAGCUAAUAGCUUCAUCGAUUGACGUUACCCGCAGAAGAAGCACCGGCUAACUCCGUGCCAGCAGCCGCCGUAA
This 506-nucleotide ribosomal RNA is filed under the name uncultured bacterium. RNAcentral's name for it is "partial 16S ribosomal RNA". It matches the Rfam family "Bacterial small subunit ribosomal RNA", at positions 30 to 523 of the family's 1533-position model. The record is from RNAcentral.